Molecule: ribosomal RNA, 472 nt
Filed under: Streptococcus sanguinis
Lineage: Bacteria; Bacillati; Bacillota; Bacilli; Lactobacillales; Streptococcaceae
Description: bacterial SSU rRNA
Rfam family: Bacterial small subunit ribosomal RNA
Source: RNAcentral
GACGAACGCUGGCGGCGUGCCUAAUACAUGCAAGUAGAACGCUGAAGAGAGGAGCUUGCUCUUCUUGGAUGAGUUGCGAACGGGUGAGUAACGCGUAGGUAACCUGCCUGGUAGCGGGGGAUAACUAUUGGAAACGAUAGCUAAUACCGCAUAAAAUUGAUUAUUGCAUGAUAAUUAAUUGAAAGAUGCAAUUGCAUCACUACCAGAUGGACCUGCGUUGUAUUAGCUAGUUGGUGAGGUAACGGCUCACCAAGGCGACGAUACAUAGCCGACCUGAGAGGGUGAUCGGCCACACUGGGACUGAGACACGGCCCAGACUCCUACGGGAGGCAGCAGUAGGGAAUCUUCGGCAAUGGGGGGAACCCUGACCGAGCAACGCCGCGUGAGUGAAGAAGGUUUUCGGAUCGUAAAGCUCUGUUGUAAGAGAAGAACGGGUGUGAGAGUGGAAAGUUCACACUGUGACGGAUCUACC